RNAcentral lists this ribosomal RNA (508 nucleotides) under uncultured bacterium. RNAcentral describes it as "partial 16S ribosomal RNA". It matches the Rfam family "Bacterial small subunit ribosomal RNA", at positions 28 to 507 of the family's 1533-position model. The record is from RNAcentral.
GACGAACGCUGGCGGCGUGCUUAACACAUGCCAGUCGAACGGGCCUUGUCCCCUUUUUUUUUGGGGGUGGGGUUAGUGGCGAACGGGUGAGUAACACGUGAGUAACCUGCCCCUCACUUCUGGAUAACCGCUUGAAAGGGUGGCUAAUACGGGGUGUUCUGGCCUGCUCGCAUGGGUGGGUUUGGAAAGAUUCGACCGGUUUUGGUUGUUUUGGUGGGGGAUGGGCUCGCGGCCUAUCAGCUUGUUGGUGGGGUGAUGGCCUGCCAAGGCUUUGACGGGUAGCCGGCCUGAGAGGGUGGGCGGUCACACUGGGACUGAGACACGGCCCAGACUCCUACGGGAGGCAGCAGUGGGGAAUAUUGCACAAUGGGCGCAAGCCUGAUGCAGCGACGCCGCGUGAGGGAUGGAGGCCUUCGGGUUGUGAACCUCUUUCGCCAGUGAAGAAGGUCCUGCUCUUUGUGGUGGGGUUGACGGUAGCUGGGUUAAUGAAGCGCCGGCUAACUACGUG